UGUGGGAGCGGGCUUGCUCGCGAAAGCGGUGUGCCUGGCAGCAUCAAUGUUGACUGUUUCACCGCCUUCGCGAGCAAGCCCGCUCCCACA
Molecule: unclassified non-coding RNA, 90 nt
Filed under: Pseudomonas kilonensis
Lineage: Bacteria; Pseudomonadati; Pseudomonadota; Gammaproteobacteria; Pseudomonadales; Pseudomonadaceae
Source: RNAcentral